Molecule: ribosomal RNA, 160 nt
Filed under: uncultured bacterium
Lineage: Bacteria
Description: partial 16S ribosomal RNA
Rfam family: Bacterial small subunit ribosomal RNA
Source: RNAcentral
CCUACGGGAGGCAGCAGUUGGGGAAUAUUGCACAAUGGGGGAAACCCUGAUGCAGCGACGCCGCGUGGAGGAAGAAGGUCUUCGGAUUGUAAACUCCUGUUGUUGAGGAAGAUAAUGACGGUACUCAACAAGGAAGUGACGGCUAACUACGUGCCAUGCA